RNAcentral lists this ribosomal RNA (159 nucleotides) under Lasiodiplodia theobromae. RNAcentral describes it as "5.8S ribosomal RNA". The stretch from base 23 to 159 matches the Rfam family "5.8S ribosomal RNA", at positions 1 to 137 of the family's 154-position model. Rfam says of the family: 5.8S ribosomal RNA (5.8S rRNA) is a component of the large subunit of the eukaryotic ribosome. It is transcribed by RNA polymerase I as part of the 45S precursor that also contains 18S and 28S rRNA. The record is from RNAcentral. Lineage: Eukaryota; Fungi; Ascomycota; Dothideomycetes; Botryosphaeriales; Botryosphaeriaceae.
GAUAAACAAGUUAAUAAACUAAAACUUUCAACAACGGAUCUCUUGGUUCUGGCAUCGAUGAAGAACGCAGCGAAAUGCGAUAAGUAAUGUGAAUUGCAGAAUUCAGUGAAUCAUCGAAUCUUUGAACGCACAUUGCGCCCCUUGGUAUUCCGGGGGGCA